UUGGAUCAGAAUUCAUUAAUUAGGACUUUUAAAUGUGAAAGAUCAUAUAUGAAUAACUCCUGCACACUGAGUUUUAGUACUAUGUUGUUAAAACAAUCUAGAGUUGGUUUUAGUACUGUUGAUCUCUUGGUUUAACGGCGAGGAUAAGUUUUAGUUUCCGAGCCUUUAAAAAGCAAUUUUUAGUAGUAGAACUGGAGUUUCAAUGCGAGUGGCUCCAGUAGAAUGUAGAAUGUUGCAAUUUUGUAUUGAUGACUUGGUGUGUGUUUUCAUGAGCUUUUAGGUUUGUUAAAAUUGCUGCUAACAUCUGCAGGAAUUUUUUUUAAAGGUGGUAAAAAUAAGAAGCUCAAACAGAGAACAUAGUUGCUUGGUAGGUAAGUCAAAUUUAAUUGUUCAACUAAUGUAGAGCAGAAGGCUCUUAACCUUGUGUCAUGUGUUCGACCCCCAUGUUGGGAAUACCAAAUGUAAUGAGUAAAUAUAUUUACGACCUUACUUGAACAAUUUCUGUUCUAUAGGCUCUAAGGAGAAAGAAAUAAAGUCUGGUGGAUGAAUCAUUGGCAUGAGAACAGAGCAGGAACUUUUCUGAAUAAAUUGGUUAAUAUAUCUUCAAAUAAAACUAAACUAAUGUUUUAUUUGUUUUAAUUAUCUAUCUUAAUUGCCAGAUCCCCUCCCACAUAUCUCAACUUUUAAAUUGCUGCUAAACUGAAAUCCAUAUGAUAAUGGUGAAUACUCACAAUAUCUUACCCUUUCGUGUUAGAGAACCCAGCUUUUUAUAUAUUGGAAUGUUCUGUCUCAAGUUUGGCAUUGAGGUGUAGUUGUUGUUUGCAUCUUGGUUUUUCGAAAAUUUGAAAAAUUCUAAAAAACAGUUUUUCAAAAUUUCACUGAAAUCACUCACAAUAAUUCAAAACAACUGUAAAUUAUAUUCAUGUCCAAUCCAAACACAACUCUAAUUUUCAAAUACUAUUUUCACUUGAAAAAAUUUCACCUUUUUUUUCGAAAUUUUACAAUUCUUAUGUCCAAACGCCCACUUAUGUGUGUGUUUUCAUGAGCUUUUAGGUUUGUUAAAAUUGCUGCUAACAUCUGCAGGAAUAAUUUUUUUUUAAAGAUGGUAAAAAUAAGAAGCUCAAACAGAGAACAUAGUUGCUUGGUAGGUAAGUCAAUUUUAAUUGUUCAACUAAUGUAGAGCAGAAGGCUCUUAACCUUGUGUCAUGUGUUCGACCCCCAUGUUGGGAAUACCAAAUGUAAUGAGUAAAUAUAUUUACGACCUUACUUGAACAAUUUCUGUUCUAUAGGCUCUAAGGAGAAAGAAAUAAAGUCUGGUGGAUGAAUCAUUGGCAUGAGAACAGAGCAGGAACUUUUCUGAAUAAAU
This 1366-nucleotide long non-coding RNA is filed under the name Nicotiana benthamiana. Its description in RNAcentral is "long non-coding RNA (NBEN_LNC040094)". Lineage: Eukaryota; Viridiplantae; Streptophyta; Magnoliopsida; Solanales; Solanaceae. The record is from RNAcentral.